AUACAGAGGGUGCAAGCGUUAAUCGGAUUUACUGGGCGUAAAGCGCGCGUAGGUGGCUAAUUAAGUCAAAUGUGAAAUCCCCGAGCUUAACUUGGGAAUUGCAUUCGAUACUGGUUAGCUAGAGUAUGGGAGCGGAUGGUAGAAUUCCAGGUGUAGCGGUGAAAUGCGUAGAGAUCUGGAGGAAUACCGAUGGCGAAGGCAGCCAUCUGGCCUAAUACUGACACUGAGGUGCGAAAGCAUGGGGAGCAAACAGGAUUAGAUACCCUGGUAGUCCAUGCCGUAAACGAUGUCUACUAGCCGUUGGGGCCCUUGAGGCUUUAGUGGCGCAGCUAACGCGAUAAGUAGACCGCCUGGGGAGUACGGUCGCAAGACUAAAACUCAAAUGAAUUGACGGGG
RNAcentral lists this ribosomal RNA (396 nucleotides) under uncultured bacterium. Its description in RNAcentral is "partial 16S ribosomal RNA". It matches the Rfam family "Bacterial small subunit ribosomal RNA", at positions 523 to 918 of the family's 1533-position model. The record is from RNAcentral.